RNAcentral lists this ribosomal RNA (253 nucleotides) under uncultured bacterium. RNAcentral's name for it is "partial 16S ribosomal RNA". It matches the Rfam family "Bacterial small subunit ribosomal RNA", at positions 524 to 776 of the family's 1533-position model. The record is from RNAcentral.
UACAGAGGGUGCAAGCGUUAAUCAGAAUUACUGGGCGUAAAGCGUGCGUAGACGGUUACAUAAGUCGGGUGUGAAAGCCCCGGGCUCAACCUGGGAAUUGCAUUCGAGACUGCGUAGCUAGGGUGCGGAAGAGGGAAGCGGAAUUUCCGGUGUAGCGGUGAAAUGCGUAGAUAUCGGAAGGAACACCAGUGGCGAAAGCGGCUUCCUGGUCCAGCACCGACGUUCAGGCACGAAAGCGUGGGGAGCAAACAGG